Long non-coding RNA from Bombus huntii, 34620 nucleotides. RefSeq lists it as uncharacterized. The transcript has 4 exons. The record is from RefSeq and is a predicted model, not a curated record. NCBI's taxonomy places the organism in Eukaryota, Metazoa, Arthropoda, Insecta, Hymenoptera, Apidae.
AAUGCAACGUUCUAGGAAAUAUGUAGCAUCGUAUGCAAUACCUGCUAUAUACCUGUGUACGUAACACACUAUCAGUAUCUGGAUUAAUUAAAAAAUAGCGCCACGUCGAUUCGUUAAUAUAAAUGUUGCGAUGGAUCGUUCUACCGGAGCUACAGAGUAAAUUAAUAAAAUACGUUGAUACAUCAAGUUCUAUCAAAAUAGAAAAAUAUACCGGUAUAGUAAAUACGUUACAGAAGCACGGCAAUCAGAGAUUUAGAAAAAAGUGGUUUGACAAGGCGCUAUAUUACAAAAUACAUCGAUUUCUCCAAACUCCUUAAAAUGAACCUUCUUGCGCAAUUUAACGAAAAAUUGAUUUCAUAUGCCAAAAAUACGAGAAAUGGACAGAACUAUAUCGUAACGAUAAUCGUAACCAUAAUAUUAAAAAGUUCGAAACUAAAAUAAAAUUGCAUGAAAAAUAUCGAUUUAGUAAGACGUUUGCCCUGAAAACGAACGAAACGAUCGAUCAAUACGCGUAUCGAUGAGUGGCAUGGAAAACGUUAUACGUUGACGAGUUAACAGGUUAACAGUUGAGAACGUGGCAUAAUCCCACGGCAGGUGUCUUUCGACGCUAAGUGACGCGAGAGGAUCUCAAAGAGAUGCAUCUUUCCCUGGCGGAUACUCGUCGUUCUACGUCAGCGCCUCUCCGCAGCAAGUUCUCUCGAUCCUAUCAGAUCCGAUUGAUCGAUCACCGAUCGGGAGAGCAGGUAGCAGGCCGCAGACCGGCAGUAAGCAGUAGUAGGUAGUAUACCGCGAGUAGUUAGCUGCUCGAUGUUGCACCGCUGCAGCCUUGAGCCUAUUCCACGCACGAAAGCCCCCGCCGCACGCCUGGCUGCACGCUGCACUUCACGUUCAGAUCCCAGACUGACUAAGCUAACUCGAAAAAAACCGCGUCUCUAUCCGCGACAUUUGUCCGGCUGACGGUAAAUUUAGUUUUCGCGCAUCCAACUCGAUUCAUAGUUCACCCGGCUUCGUCUUUAUCUUUUCUUUACGACGUCGAUCGAGUAGCUUAUUUAUUUUCGUCUGUCAUUCAUACGAAAUCAGUUUCUACAUUGAUGAUUUUUCUCCUCUUUUCGAUCGUUUUAAAGACGAUUCAUCGUUCAAUUAUACAGGGUGGUUGGUAACUGGUGGUACAAGCGGAAAGGGGGCGAUUCUGCGCGAAAAAAGAAGUCGAAAAUAUAGAAUAAAAAUUUUUCGUUCGAGGCUUUGUUUUCGAGAAAAUCGACUUUGAACUUUCGCUCGGUACGCGCGCACUUUAUCACGUCUCGUUAUAACGGAUCUCACUGUAGAUCGUUGUCUCGGUGGAAAAAUUAAAAAAAAAAUUUUAUUCUAUAUUUUCGACUUCUUUUCUCGCGUAGAAUCGCCCCCUUUUCCGCUUGUACCGCCAGUUACCAACCACCCUGUAUAUGUAAUUUUUUGGUAGAAAGGAAGAUAGCUUGCUGGUAUAAAGCGAUACCAGUAAAUGUUAUCGAUGGUAAGAAAAAGUUUUGUUAUUACUCUGUAUCAACUUUGAUUUUAAUAUUAAUACUAGAUAUUAAUUAUAUUAAAGAGAGUAAUAUUGAUAAAAAUGGACGAUAGUCGAGAGUAAGUAAACAAAUUUUUCGUCAUCGAUAUUCAUCACCAGCCGUAAUGAUUAUCGGUAACCGAAAGAAUGUUAAUCGUCCUAAUCAAAAUUACCUGAAACAAGGUAUGAAUUCUUUUAUAUCGCAACUUUUUAACUCGGGUUUCAACAACCCUGGCUAGAAUUAACCGUCAACUGAUAUCGUCAGGCUAUUCGAGACACGUAAUGACUGAAUUUUCGAUUGCUUAAUUUCAGGAGUAUUAUCUUUAGUUUUAUUACCAGUCCUUAUCAUAGAGAAUGUACGAUAUAAAACACAAUUACGUAGCCCAAUCUUCGAUGAUCUUACGUGAAUUAUCGUAACGUGUCGUUCAACGUUACUAUAGCAUUUGAGAGUAGAAAUCCAAGUCAUACGAAACUUAAGUAAAUGCAGGGAGAGCAAAGUAUUUAACGGGCCAUCUUCUUCGAUCCAUACGCGCCCGUGACUAGCCAAAAGAUACCGUUUCGAAGAAAACGUGGCAGACUCGACGUUCGCGCGCGAAGUGCAUCUCUCAUCUCGGUUGAUCGAAUGCGUUUCGAACGAAAUCGGAACAAUCGUUUUUUCGGGCAAACGGUUGGAACGGGGGCGUGUAGGUAUCACUAUUGGUGGAUGGUCGAUAAAGUUAGAGCGAGAGAUGGGCAGUGUAAACUUGCUCCCGAUUUAGAGCCGAGCCCUUUUUACACGAAGCCAAGUAGGCCAUGCGCGAAGGAUGAUGACGGCGUGGAAAAAUAUAACAUUUUACGAACAUGCAAGCGUCGUUGGGUAUAUAUCGCUUGCAUCGGUCUUUGCGUAUACAAGCAGCCGGCGAAUCAAUACUAGAAAAUCACAGUGGGCUUCUAAAAGGAGAUCGCGAUCGUGUGACUACGGGGGAAGUAUACUCGCGAAUCGAGCGAACGCAAAUAGCCGACGAGAAUAACUUCUCGUGCGAUCCAACUUGGAAAUAAUUUCUUCCAUCGCGAUGCUUAUUUAUCGUAGUUUAUCCGUUAACCUUCGUCGAGCUACCCACGAACCUCGCUGGGGUUGACGAACCGACCGAUAACACGUAUAUAUUCCGUGUUAACCCGCACGAUAUAAAACUGCACUCUGGUGUUCCACGAUCUCGAAGGUUACUUCUUUAUUCCAUCCAUAUAAUAUGUGAUAUGUUUACUGUAAAAUUUGGGAAAUUUUGUCAAAUAAGUAAGAAACUUGCAAACAUAAAACAAUGAACCUAUUAAUCGAGAAGAUCGUCGAUUUCUUAGAAUAAUUUCUUUAUUAAGAUUCAAAGAUUAAACUUGAAGAUUUUGAUUAAGAUUAAAGCGUGGCAAAUAAGAUUGCGGAUCUGUAAUUUAUUAGAAGAAUGUCCUUCGAUCCAUCGGGUUAUUCUCCUCUUCGCUCGUUUCAUUUUGUCGAAAUAUCUUUAACCAGCGUGUGAUAUCAAAAUCAGAAGUUAACUGCAGUAAACGUCAUAUUUUUCUCAUAUCUCGUGGUCUUUGAUCGCAGUCGCUGAAUAUUCGUUGAGAUAUUCGAGAUGCAAAAAUUUUAAGAGACAGAUUUAAGUCUCAACGAACAAAGAAGUUUAUGAAAACGAUAUGGAAAAGCCAGCGAUAAGGUGAUCAGUGACAAUGACUUACUAAACACCAAUUACAAUCUUUUCCAACGAAUUUUUCCCUCGUUACUUAAAAAUUAUACAAACUGUCAGAACUAUUAUCGUAAGAACCUUCUAUGCUUGCACAGUUGUAUGAAUCGAAGAUUUCUAAAACCUUGGCGAUUUUCCGAUAACAGGGUUCGCGUAGUGGGAAGUAGGAUGUGCGUUACGACGCGAAGUUUCACGGGCGUGAAACGAUCGAGCAAAAAGCUGGGUUGGUGCGGUGGCCACGGCGUUAAGUGGAAUGAUCCAGAGCGCAACUCGGUCAGACGCGAGGCAUGCAUGAGCGAAUAUAAAGUAGUAGCUAGCGAUAGCUGUACGGGCAACGCUAGGCUGCGAGGGCGACGAUUUCGCAAAAAUUAAUCGCGGCCAUAAAUUUAUCGCGUUCCUAUCGUGAGAAUCGCGGUGUUCCUCGGGGCGCGUACCUGUGGCUUGCGAUGUAAAAGCGGAAUCUAGGCCGAUAUAAAUAGGCUGACACACCACGGAAUAACAGGUAGCCUUAAACGCCGCAUUAACAGCGUGGAUACAUUCGAGAAAGAGCUGGUUGCCGCAUACGGGCAUUUCGAUGCUUAGCUGUGGUCAGUUUUCCGGGUUACGAAGAAUCCUUGAAUCGUGUGUCAUACAUAGUUAACUGUUGUUAUUGGGUCAUAUACGAGUAGUAAGAUAUGAUUUCGCGUAUAUUUCGGUUGGGUUACUUGGUAGGGUUUUGAGAUGAGUAUUAAAAUUGUUCUAUUCUGGAUACGAAUGAAUUAGAAUAUAAUAAUUACGAUAUAAGCGUUUCUUACGUUUUUCAUGUCAGAUAUAAAAUAUGUAAUUUGAUUUUCACCUCGAGUGAUAAAUUUUUAUAUUUAUAGGUAUAAUCGAAUUUGGACGUGCCUUUAAUAAUAAAACGUGAAAUUCACAGCCAUUUAUUAGAUUUCGACAGGCCGUGUGAAUUUUUCUAGAGUUACGUCGCGAAAAAUUUCAUUUCAAUUCUCUGCAGCCUCGUUCUUCCAUUGUAAUAGUAACGAUCGUCACGAAGAAUUGGUGUAGUUCCAAUGUAUCAAUUAAUUACGACUCGUAGGUCAUGUCGAUAAGCAAACAAGCAAAAAAGAAUUGUUUAUAUAUUAUAAAUGUAUGAAUAUAUAUAAUUUCCAAUUGAUAUUUCGUAUCUUAUUCGAGAAAUCCUUCCGAUGAUCUGUAUCACAUAAAAUACAGGAUACGAAUUAAAGUAAAAUGAAGCAACUUAACCCAAAUGCUGAUAUGAGUCAUCUACGAUCUAACGAAAUGAAACGAGAUUCGAUACAGCUAUAGGAAAGGAAACGUUUAGCAAGAUGUUGUAACGUUAACGAAUGUGAGUCGUCGUGAUUUAUAUUAUAUGAAAACAGUAAGAAUAUGAUAUGAAAACUCCGAUCUUUUUCUUCUUUUCUUUCCUACCAUUCGUCUUCCUGUUCUGUGUGCACGCACAACGAGCACACGUACCGAGAAUUUGCCGGAGCAACGCGUUUCGCUUCGUUGCGCGCAUCCACGGUAGCGUAUAUGCGUUGCGAGCAGAAGAAGAAAAAAGAAAGAAGCCUGCCACUAUAAAACUCCCGCUGGUUAUGGUCCGCGCUGUCCUAAUUCUGCCGUGUACUCAAAGAGCUUCCCUUUUCAGCAGGAAUGAAAAGAAAGGAAGAAAAAAUUACGGUACGCUCGCGCGUAAAUAAUACUCAAUUACGAACCAACUUGCUCCGUGUCCUUUAUCAUACGGGAUUUUACUUAACUCUACGUUUAGCCACGGCGAUUGAUGAGAAUCGAAUAACACGGAGAUUUUUUCAAAUCUUGUUACGCUAUAGCGAGGUUUAUCGUUAGUUAAAGUAAUCAUAUGCGUAUGUAAUAUAUAAUAAUAGUAUAUGUAUUUUGCAUAUCAGAUUAAAGAAAUUGUCGGAAAUGCGUAAGAAGUUUUAUUGAUGUUUAAUUGACGAAGUUAAGCAGUUAUCAAUAAUACGAAGCCAGUAUGAAUGUCCUAGAAUUGAUCGUUAUUUAUGUCAUCUCGUUGCAAUAAAUGAUCUUAUACAAAUAUAUAAACCCGCGUGAACCCUUUGUUUCUUGAAAAUCGGACAAUAAUCGUGUGUUUGUAUAAUGAAAUUAACUUGGACUAAUCCAUACGCCGAAGAAAAAAGCAAGAAGAAAAGAAAAGACAACGUGAGACAACGCGUAGCGGCACAAGAGCUAGAGGACAAUUGAAAUCAUGUUGUUGUUUUGCCUCGGAGUAUCAAUAUCGUUAGGAUACACAUAAUAUAAUAAUAAAUAAACUCCGGGCAAAACAAUACCGCCGCUACGUACAACCGUCAAACAAACUCGAAUUCAAAUUUUCUGGCUCUCCUCCGACCCAGUAUAAAUAAACGAACGCGUUCGCUAGGCGACCAGUUUUUGAUCAAUGAGUCGCGCGAUUCAAGUUGAGUUACCAACGAGUUAUCAGUCAGUCGUGCGAAUCAAUAUCAGUUAUCAGCGAUCUUAUUAGCGAUAUAUACACUGUCUUUAGCAAAUCAGUUAGUAAGAGCGUCUUAGCGAAUAUUGUCUGUACUUAUUUAUUUAUUAUUUUAAAAUACACUUGACGCUUUUAACAUCGACUUAUCUCGCCGUUUAAAACACACUAUCAACCAUCCUCUACAAACGCGUUUUGCUCCGGUGCACUUAGCUACCUUUGUGUCCGUUUCUCUCUUCCCCUGAGUCCCCCCACCAGGGAGAGACAAAAAGGCGGACAGCAUAAAACCCCUAGCACAGUGGCGUGGUCUGCCUAUCGGUAUAUAUCGGCUCUGUCCCAAUUCCACAGAGUAUUGUGUCACUCGAUUUUACUUUGCCACACGACGACGAUGACGCUCGCUCUCGUUUUUGCGUAUUUUAUGCGGGGCAUUAAUGCACCGGGAGCCGAUGAUGCUCGAACGAUACGCACAUACGUUCGUUAUGGACGCAUGUACGUUAACGAUGGGCUCGAGUAACAAGUACAUCGCAAGUAGGUUCGUACGCUGGCCGAAUAUAUUCGCACUCUCUAUAGGUAUUUCGGGGAAGAGAAGUAUUUUUAAACAGAUGUGAACAUAAACGCGACAGGUCCGAUCGAACGAGUACCUUAAGAAGUGGGGUAAGCAUUCGAAAGUAGAACCGAACAUUUAUCGAAUAAGUUCGAAACUUUACGAGCAUCUUGCCAGGAAUUUCUCAUUCUCUUCAAAUCAUUUCUCUUGGCUACCGUUGAAAUUCUUUGUUCUGUAAUAAUUGGCUACAUCAAUCUUGUAAAGGUAUAAAUAGAAUACAUAGUGUUUUUCUGAAGCUCGUGACUCGAUUAGUCACGUUGUUAUUAAUUAUUUAGUAGUUAGUAAGAGUAUCGAUUCGUUUGAAUGUCUUAGUGCUUGUAAGUAGAUUUUUGAAACUUGCAAGUAGCCAUUCUGAAGCUCGAGAACAGUUUGCGAAGAUCGGAUACUUGGCAAGUACAAUGAAUGAGCCAUUACGUAUUACGACUAGUACUCGAAUCCUUGGGUAUUGCAAUUGGUUCGGUUUUAUAAAUACAUUUUGAACUUUAUCCCGUCACCAGUAUAUAUACAACAACGAGGACCUCUAUCCUCCCUUCAUCGUCAUCAACGUCUGUUACUGUCUCUGUAGAAUCUACGUAAAAAUGACUCGUGUGCUCACCGAGCCAACGAAUAGACGUCUAGCGUAGGUUAAUCUCCUGACUUGCCUGUUCCACUGUCGCUCACCUAUCUCAACUGACCCAUAACCGAUGUAAUUCCUACGCGUAACGCGUUACACGGCUGUGUAACUGCGCGUUACGCUGUUCUACUCGCGCGUCCUUUAAUAACCACUAUGUUCAGAGAUGGAUAACGAACCGUGCUGCUUGUUCAAACUCCAAGAAUACGUUACUGAAAUUUUUGACCAAUAAUUCUUACUCUAAAAUAUAGCAGAAUUAAAUUUUAAUACUGCUACGCAACAAAUAAUUAACUCAUUAGAGUGCUCCAUGCCCCAUUUCAUUUGCGAUACUUUUUCAAUCGGUUUACAUUAUCGAAUCCUGUUUUUUAGCAUUGCAGCUGUGAAAGAAAAAUCUAAGGUUUCGCUUAAUACUUAUCUCCUUGUCGUUCCUCCUGCCUAUCGAUUAUUUUACAAUUAUGAAACAACAAAUUAUUUUUAACAACAAAUAUGAAAUUUAAAGAAAUUGGCGUAUUUGUAGCAUUAUGAUAAACCAUUUCUUGGUCCUUGUCAGGUUCACUUCUAACAUAUCGAGAUAGUAUCGUCGGGGAAUCUCAAUACGAUCUUUCAGCCCUUUCAGCCAUUGAAAGAAAGGUAUUAUAGGAACGGCUUGUCUCCACGACGAAUUCAAAUAAGUAAAAUUCUAUUAGCCUCCUUCAACGAUAUAUAUACCAACGAUGUAUAUAUAUAUUUACAUACAUAUAAAACAAGUAUGGAAAACAUUUAAUCGUGGUAACCGUAAUUUCGCAAGAAUGUCGAAUAAGAAAAUGGGGCACGCAUCCGAUAUAGAAUACGAUAUAGAGCAAAAGAUGUGUGGGUGUUGCCGGCCCAUAUAGCUUAUUGAUCGUUUAACCGCGCUUAUACCACGAACGAAUUAUCCAAAAGGUUGGUCGACGAGAAGCUUACACGUGAAAACCGUGGAUCGGAAAAAGGCUAGACACAGGAGAGCCAUGCGACGAGCAACUACUCUUUUCCCUCUUGCCGUCACGCGUAAUCUCUGCAGUGUAUCUCGAGUUUCUCGCGAGGCGUACGUACGCGGGCGUAGGUCGUUCCGUGUGUAAGCUCCAUAAAGGCGUCACGCUCCGUAAGCAGAGCCCUCCUUGAUCCAAAUUCCAACCUGGGGUUGGAGGUUGAGCGAUUCAAUCUGGCUUUAAUGUGUUCACACUGGACAACGCUGCUGCUGCUGCUGUUGGUCGGUACGCGUUGAACUGUGAACCGCUUUCACCCGUUUUAUUUUUUUCCAUUCCCGAAUCGAUUAACAAAGGGAAUUUUUCACGUGGCCGCUUGACGCUGGUAGGAAAGAGGAGGAAGAGGGAACGAAGGAGGAAAGAAGGUGGGGAGAGGCUGUGUGUUGCAAGCGCCGCUCACGAAUCGCUCCGUGAAAUAUUUCACGUACUUCGAGCCACGUGUUUCCGAAGAAAGCGCCGUCCUGGAUCGAAUCGAUUCGAAACCAGACUUCUAGUUCGGGGAAAACUACGUUUCUACUUAAACCAUUAAAUCGAUAAUAACGUUGAAUUCCCCUUUCGCUAUGCCAUAUCCUAAAAAUAACUCAAAGAUUCACGUUUCUUAUGGUUUCUUUUAACCAUGUAGAGAUACGUAAUCAACAUGUACGUGUAGUCAUUGCCGGAUCGCGAUUUCAAUUAUUUCGUAGAGGUAAAAAUAUGACGAUAUUGAGAGAAGAGAAUGGAAAGAAUUGGUAGAAAGAAAUGUAUCGAUGUCGUAUACUAUGUAUUGUAUGUAUAAUAUAUAGGUGAAGUGCGAUUUGGGCUCGAAGUUUGGUCACGAGAGAGGAGGAACAGAAGCCAGACAGAUAGACACGGCCAGGUAAAACUCGGCUCUCUCGUUUCGUUUCGGCUCGUCACGGACCGGUGCCCUGUUAGCUCUCUGCCCUUGACACAGUUCUCCCCGCGAGAGGAGCGCUCUUGCUGUGUUACGAACUCACGACUCUCUCGGCUCCGUGUGGUGGACCGAGGGCGCCUCUGUCUCUCUGCUACACCUCGACGCAUAUGCCGUCCCGACGACGCGUCGCGUCGCGUCGCGUCGUAUACGUUUCAAGCUCGGUUUCCACUAGCCCUCGCGGGACGCUCCAGUGACGCCAGUCCCCGCCAGCGAAUGUUUUUUUUUUUUUUUUUUUAUUUCUUACUGUAAGAUUAAAAGAUCUACAGGGUAUGUAAUGUGGCAACAAAAUUACAAAAUAAACGAUGCAAAUGAAAAAUCACGAAAUUUCGUAAAAUUGUUGCAUAACAAUUUUCAUGAAAGACUUGUGAAAGACUGAUGAAAUACUUUCGUAAUAACGAUGAAGUAUAUAUGCAGAGAUUUAUUUAAUACUGUUAGGUAUUUUGGCGCGGACUUUGUGCGAAAUUUUUUGCGACAUAGUAUUUUGGUGGAACAAUUAUCGGCAUGUAACGUAUCGAAUGAAAAGUUCGUCACUUUAUAAUAAAUAUAAAUUGUAAUGACAAAUUGUUUCUAAUUUAUGUCACGAAAUGCGAACCUGCGAGUUGGUAUAAUCAGCCAUUUGUCAAGUUAAAAAUAAUAGAAAAAUUAUUUAACGAUCUUAUGACAACCAAUGUAUUUGAAAUAUUCGGAAGAACUUGAUGGUUCGUUUUCUGGAAUAUUUAACUUCAGAUAAAAAUGAAACCAUCAAGUCAAAAAAUUCUCCGAUAUAAAACAAGAAACAUAUAGCUAUAUGUUCCUAUAGCGUUCGUCAAUUUUACUAUAUUAUAUAACAAAUUAAAGUUUAUAAAAAAAAUUGCGCCACCCUAUGAUCCUCAACCUAAUUCUUCAAGGCUACUUCGCUGCCAAACUUCGCUGCAUUCUACGUUAUAACGAAGUUUGUACCAUGUACGUACUUCGACGCGCUUCGAACGUUUGGAUGCCGCGCCGUGCGGAUCAAAGCGGACGCGAGCUCCAUUAUUCGACGUGCUCACGUAAGUUCACGUUCGUGCACACGCCCGGUUGCCAUGCGUUGCACGGUUCUGUCCAAUGAAAACGUGCACGAGAUUACCGGGCCCGAAGAGAGAGAACAUCGCCAGGGUCCGUGCGAGUAUUUCGAAACAGGCGUAACUAAAUGUUUAUCCGUCUCUCUGCACCCGUUUGCCACGUUCUCUUACGUUUCUCCAAGAACAGACACGAAAUCACUCACGGAUUACGAUUUCGGAUGGAUUUCAUUUGAGAAAGAAGCUGACGUUCGUCCCACGAUCUCGCGAUGAACAUUAUUCCGAUCGCGUCUCGUUCAUUCGAACGAAUUCGUUGGUCAGCAUUCUUUUUAUGGAAUGUCUGUCUUUAUUGGCCAGCCUGGGCUAUUUCUUCUUUUCUCGGCCGUAUUCCAGUUGAUUACAAUGAAGUACACCAGAUAGAAUAUUGACGAAUAUUAUCGUCAAUCGGGUUGUGAUUUUCGUCCUUGUUAACACGUGUUUGGUCAUUGAUACGGUGCAAUUCUCUGUCUACGAAGGCUUGAUCGCUUACAAUAAAUAAAGUUUUUCUCAGCGCGAGUAAUCGCGACUUUAACGAGAAGAUUUCGUUCUUAUCCUCGAAAUAGAUUUAAGGACGAUUUACUAUCACACAAGGGAAGCGAAAACUUGUUCGCAUCGUUCAGUCUGACUACAGUUUUAGAAAUACAUAUUUAUAUCUUUAUGUUUGCACAUUGCGUAGAUACGUCGAAUCAUUUUGCAUAGAAUCACCUUUUUUCUUUCUUACUUGCACCACGUGAUUCGACUUAAGUCUGCGCGUAUGUCAUUUUAUUAUCCGCUUUGGAAUACGCGAACAUUUGGCUCGCAAAUAGAAAUCUGUCUGCGAAGCGCACGCGUUCUGCAUGGUCAUCUUGGUUUCUUUGAUCUACCUACUUUGUUAUAGCGCAGUUAGUUUAAGAAUAUAGUUCCGCUUCCUCGAUGAUCGACCGUCCGUUUAAAAUAAUUUGAAUUAAAAGAUCGAGGAACAACAAAUGUUCUUAUUACGAAAUAUUAUUACCAAGUUUAUGAAUCGGAAUAACAAUAGGUCCAACUGAGGUUCACGAUACUCAUAAAGUAUAUUCUAUAGACAAUAGAAAAUACCACCAGAGUCUGUAUAGAGAUUUCUGUAUGUUCUUCGCGUACUUGCGUGGAGUGGCAACAUUUAACUCGGAACAACGCGGUAUUUAACAUAUAAAAAAUGUAUAUAAAACAGGAGAAUAGGGGUGCAUCGUGCGUCGACACGCUUCACGCGUGAACACCUGCGUGGAGAGACGGAUGUGUAAGAACGGCAUAUGGAGAAAAGGGGACGAUCCAACAAUUACCCUGGUUCUACCUGCUCGUUAUUUUAACCUUAAUUUUACGAUUAUUCCUCCUUUAAUUCACUCGUUGUGGAAAUUAACCCUUGUGCCCAACCCUCUUCGAAUUAUUUUCAAUUUAAUCGCGAAGUCCUUAACACAUUGCGGGCCAGACGUUUUAUUGCUGACCAUACCCAGCAAACUUUUGCCUCAAAUACUUUCAAAUUAUUUACAGUUUGUUAGUAGUUUCUGACUCUUCAAAAACCUUCUAACUCUUUCUACCGCGUCUUUUGUUACUGCGUUCUCAACGCUCUCGACAGAUACACAGAAAACGCAAAAUAUCUCGUCGUCGGUCCAUAAUGCGUUAUAAUAUCAAUAUGACGAUAUUAAUAGCAUUAUUUGUCGCUUUAAAUUGUACCACAAAAUUUCUCUGGGAACAUUAACCUUUCAACAGUCUAAUAAAAUAAUAAGAAUCCGCAAUGAACGAUUUUGAAAACAUUUGUCGCCUUAUCUUCAAUGUUUACUAUAUUCCCGAUAACUGGACACAAAGACCACAUAUUUUCCAUUCUUAUGGAACAAUUAUUGAUAAAUAUUAAUAACUGCGUUACGCAUGAUAGUAUUUAAGAUGUGAAAUUUAUAGCACGUGCUACACGUUCUACGCUGUAUACUACGUAUUGUAUACCAUAUAAUACGUAUUAUAACGUUGUAUACUUGUUUGUAAAAAUUCCAAGAUUACAGCAGCGUUGAACGUUAUAGUAGCUACCGAUUACCAUCCGGUGUGGUCCGAUAGAAAAAUGAAAAAAACUAACGCGACUCUGUGGCAUAGACGAUACGAUUCAGGUAGUGGAAGCAAGCGGCAGUAGCACACAUGUGUGGAACAACAAGUCGCGAAAUUAUUCAGGACAGGUAGAGUAACGUGUAAUGGCUGCGUCGUGAGCAGUAUUUCCCAUCAGUAGAUAAGUACAUUCAAGGUCAGCCGCAGUGCAGCAGACCGUUUCAACGUUACACGCUUUCCCCGCCGGUGGUUCUUUAUCGACUGUUUAAGUCAAUAAUCGGUCAACACGCGAUACAUACGUAUGUAUCAAACGCGCGCAAAUAUCGUGCCAACCGGAACACUCUGUUCUCAUAAGGGGUGGAAACCGUCGCGUGACGUUUAUUAAAUUUAGACUCUGUUGUAUGAUUAACCCGUGCGACGUCUUUGCAAGUUUUGCAUUCUGAACGCUUUGUAAUUCGAUGACUUUGUACGUAAGCUUGCAGUUCUGCUGUGAGAAUUUUGAACUAUACCAAGCUCUAAUGUAAUAUAAAUUAAUUUAUUAUUAUUUUUUUUUUUUUUUUUUUUUGAAUCAAUAACGUUACAUGUGAGAGACGAAGUUGACCUUUGUACGUUCUUUACACUUCCACCUGUAGAAAAAGUAGUAACAUCAAAUUACCCACUUCUUCGUGUCAUUCAACUUUUGUUCGAAACAUUUUUCCACGCGUCAAGUGAUCGUCGAGUUACCUGAAGUUACCAAGUUAGGAAACUCAAGCUGCACAAUGUUCUCUAGUUUGACGUAACGUUUGCCUGCCACUCUAUUAACAACCGCUUGAUCUCACUACUCCGAGAUAUUCUCCCUCGAGUAUACUCAUAAAUUCUCUGUCCAAGAGAAUGACAGCUUCCCUUUUCCUGACUUUGAGUAACUUCUUGAUUUCCAACAUCAAGAACAUUGUUUUCUUACGCCGACUCGGGGGACACUGUAUUUCCAAUAGCAUUCGUGUCACCGUAUCGUUAAAAAUCUCACAGAUUUACUAUACUUUUUAUCGCAGAUUCCUGGAAACGUCACCCACGCAAACCAAAAUGCUGCCACGCAAAAUUACGACGAAAUCGCAUUAUUCAUCUGUACCAGCUUCCGACGCCUGUACAAGGGUCCUCUUCUUGCAAGCGUUGAUGGCGCAGCCAUUCAAGCGAAAAUCAAGUAGAGUUACGAAACGGUGGUUGUUACAGUACCACGCUAGAAUGCCGUAGGAACGAUCGUGGAUCGCAAUUUUCACACCGUGCCGAGUCGUAUCAGGAGGAAAGGGUCGAGCUGUCGUUCCGAGGCGUCGAAUCGUUGCGCCCCGUCGGCGCGCAAGAAUGGAACACACGAUUUGUUCAAUGGCUCGACGAUAAGCCAUCCGAUUACCAUGGACUAUUUACACGAGCUAUCGCGUCGCGAAUCGACUUAUUUAUAUCGUUCAAUGUUAAUUCGUUUGUUCGUCAUCUCGAACAACGACACAGUCGUAACCGGGCAUCUUCGUGAAAAAAUUCCAACUGCUAUUUAUCCACAGCAGCUCGCACAAUAUGUGUAUGUAUACAUAUAUUGUAUAUAUAUAUACGUGAAUAUAAAAGUGUGUGUAUACAGAUAUAUGCGAGUGAAAUGAUGUAUUUCAGGAAAUUAUAGGAAAAAGUUGUCACCGUAUGAAAAGUUGGGCGAUAUAAAUAUACAUAUUAUCGAGUGCACGGUUGCACAGAGGUAGAAACACGUGGCAACCCACGAACGACCUAUUUCCAGGCCAGCUCGUUUUCCACUGAUAUAACUUGGAAAACGAAUCGCUGCAGCGAUCGGGCCUCGAUUCUCCGCUGAGCUCGAUGACAACGAGCCCGUCUCCUGAGACAUUUCGUGUGCACGAAAUUCGUCGAUGCCCAAACGAGAUUCUCGCGUUUAACCACGUAUCUGGUGCUGAGAGACUCGUAGGUCACCGAUGUGUGACGACCGAAAUUUCUUACCAUAGUUUAUCGACACUUUAACCUUCCACCUGACCCUCGGCCAUCGAAUUAGGAUUGCAUGAAAGUUGUGAUUUUGUGAUUUGAAUUAUGGAUACUAUGUCAUAAAUGGCAAAUUGUUCUCGGAUCUGUCGAUAUUACUAAAUAUAACGUUUAGAAAAAAUAUUUCCACGUACUGUUAUUUUCUAAUGAAUUGCUUUUUAUCAACUUCUAUAUAUUUUAUUGCAGUGGUAUUAAAUUUGUGUGGCCGUAGGCACUGCUAAACGACGUGGAAUUUAAUAUGCUUGCACCUAAUUAAUUAAUAUGUAAAUGCUAUAAUAAAUGCAAUACACGUUACAACGCAUGUUAGUGUGUGUAUAUAUAUUUUAAUAUUUCCCUAUACUAAAUAACUUUAUUUAUAAUCUUCCCAACUCAAAGAUUUCGUCAUCCAUACCACUCCCUCCCUGAGUAAUCAAUAAAUUAUCCCUCCCUACCGAUCGAUAAACUUUGCUAUUACACAGUCCCCUCGCACCUUUCAAUUUCACUAAAAAUACUACAAAUUUUAGUGGUCCUAAUUCGAUAGCCAGGGGCUGUAGUUGCGAGAGUCGGCUCGGCUCGUCUGCAGGCUUAACCGUGUCACGAUUUAAAGGUCAGUCUCUUUCCACGUACAGCCAACGAUCGAAGAUCUUGUCUCGAGCUUUCGACUAAUAACAGGCUACGAAAAGGCUUUUUCUCUAGGUUCGUCGAUGCUAAACACCGCGCUGCUCCUUAACAAUGCAUCGUCAAUGGUAAAUUUAAUCCUUCGUUCGUCGAGAAAUUGCAGGCUCGACGAUGGAAAAGCAGUGUAUGCUGACGAUAAAACCGCGUUUACGUACGAUUCUGGUCCGCGUUUGGCCGCGCGAAUAGAUCGAAUUUCGCGUGCAAGUGACUUUAAAUCGAAGGACUCGCAGGCGAUGUUAAGGGUGGAAAGCGCGGAACGAAGAAAGAGAGGAAGGAAGGUAGGAAGGAAGAAAGGAAGAAGCGAUGGAAUGAGGUCGUGUUAAAAGUGGGCCAGGUUUACUCGGUAACUAUGUCACCGCUAUUGAUCUGUCAUCCACCCACAACCUUCUACCGCACCACUUAUCGUCGGCGUAGUCUAACAGAGCAAACUGUUGCGAUAGUUUAUUUUCAUUUCCUGUCCAUAUUUCCUGUAUAAUCUAUUCCCGUCAAUUCAUUUCAUCAUCGUCACGCUGUUCCUUUUACUCGUUUACUACAAACUUGACAAACUCAGCAUUAGGCUCGACCAUGAAUUUUUAUUAUACAGCUUGGAAGCUACGUACGAUUCUGUGUAUAUAUUAUUGAAAUCUUAUUUUAUUUGCUUAUUAGCCGAAUGUUACACUUUAGCAACACAUCUAUACGUAUCAAUUAUUUAUUCGUAAAUUUCAAAGUGUGUAGAGAACGCGAUGUAUCGUUAUCCGUUUUGAGACGCGUGAAGACUUUCUUUUUUUAAACCAGUCCGCUCCUUUUACUGGUACCAUCAAGUUCAAUUUUUCCUUUGUAGAAACCUAUUAGAAGAUGGGUAAAUAGUUUAUGGAUUUAUAAUAGAAUGAAUUAAUUAAUAUAAUAUUUCGCAUUUAAGCAUUUAUUCUAUAUAUUCAUUUUUCUCGUAUUUAUUAAUAUAUUUAUCUUUAGUACAGAGAUUUCCCAGAGGCUUCUCGAUCGUUGUACUCGUUAUACAAGAAAAUAUACUAUAAUAUAUACAUUUAAAAAUAAGAAAAUUAAUUUGAAAACAUCAAUUUUUAAGUUCCCGAUUCUAGUUCUAGUUAACGGAUUAAUAAAUAAUAUCCUAAGAAUGGAAGAUACCAGCUUUAAGUAGCUACGUAAAAUGUUAUAUCUACACGCCACGAAGUUUUUGGAAGUCCAUUGUCGUACGUUCCAUCUAUUGGUCAACGAGCAUUCGUAUGUCCUGCUUACGCAACGGGCUUGGGACUCGAUUUCACUAUUUCGGAUUAGGAACGAACUUGGAACAGCUUUGUAGCGACACAUGAGCUACAAGACAAUUCAAAUCAUAUUGCUGUUUUGCCUCGGAGUAUCAAUAUCGUUAGGAUACACGUAAUGUAAUAAUAAAACAAUGUCGCCGCUACGUGCAAUCGUCAAACGAAGACGAAUUCGAAUUUUCCGGCUCUCCCCCGACCAACAUAAAUAAACGGACACGAUCGUAAGCAGUUGAGUAUCUAUCAGUUACCAACGAGUUAUCAGCGAUCUUAUUAGCGAUUUACACUGUCUUUGGCGAAUGUGAACGUCUCAGAGAAUAUUGUCUGUAUUAAUUUAUUUAUCAUUUUAAAAUAUAUCUGACGGUUACAACAGCGAGUUAUCUCGUCAUUUAAAUGAACACUCCACUAACUAUCCUCUACAGCUUCUUUGGUAAUACCGGCCGCGGUACUACGAAACACUCUUCCGACUACUUAACUAUGCCCUGUAACUCUUACCUAGUUUCCUAAUUGUACGACUCUCCAGCUUUCUCUAUAUUCCUUUUUUUUUUUUUUUUGGUCGUUGGUCAUCUCGAGACUACUUCAACCCUGCCCCACCCUCGUCACAACCUAUCGACCCUCGUACGACCGCUUUUCAUUCUCUCUCUCGAAAACGGGUUAACGCGAUAAACCGUCGAACACGGCUGCGCCGUUGUUCCGUUUAUACGAUACUUUGCAUACAUAUGUAUAACGCUAUACGCUCGCGGAUACCUACAGUCGUAGGCAAAAAUAAGUGGACAGAUAGUGGAAGUAGGUAUCAAUGAAUUUUAAUACGUACGAUGCGACAGGAUUUUUACGUUUCCUACCAUCUGCCACGAAGAAGAUCGAAAAACUUUCUUUACUUGAUUUUACUUAGAAAAUGAAUAAAACGCGCGUUACAUCGUUUGGAAAUAUUAAAAAAGAAAAACGAUACAUAUGUCGAAUAUUUUCGUCUGAAAGGCUCCCUUCUUCUUGAUGCACGAAUCUAUGCUGUAUUUGUUAAUCAAAUUAGUACCGGGUUAGUGUUAGGUUUUAUUUGUUAUACAUCCGUAUAAUACAUAGGUCGUUUAAAUAAUCUAAACUAGUAUUUACAUGUUUGUAGAAACAAAGUUUAACGAAACACACGGUAACUCAGUAUACUUCCGUUAUCUAUCCGUUUAUUUUUGUCCACGACUGUAUAUCCUAUCAAGAGGUCUUAUGUACGUAACAGAGAUGAUAUUCAUUAGCAACGGUCCACGUUACUUCUCUCUGCGUGAGGUUUCUACGAGAUCUGUUUUUCCAACCACGCUCAAAGUCCUCAGAAUGUUAACGUGGCUAAAGAUAGCGUGGACGAAGAUUGAGUUGUAUGUAUUCAGAAGAGUGUAAUAUAUUCCUUACUCUUUUUCUUACUUGUCCUUUCUUUAGAGUAUUAGCGCGACGUAGUAGGUGUGAUUUUUUGCGACGUGCGUCAGCCACAGCGGGAACACCGUUUUCCAUGACAUAAGUGUUCCAGUUUACAUACCGCGUCCUCAACAAGUCGAGACUCGCCUUGCCGCGCGUUUGAGGCAGGUCGGUAAUGUUAGCGAACGCUACAUAUCGCGCAAGCUGCAUUACCUUCGAUCCGACCGUCUCGAUAUGAAACGAACAUCGAGAGUCGAGAGUCCGGUGACGAGCCAUCGGCCUUAAUGAGGGAAGAUAGCGAAAACUGGUUUUCGAGUCCCGUGGAACAGAAAUUGAAAGUCAUCGGCGCGAUUCCCAAUGAGUAAGAGAAUAUACGAGAGACUUCGUCGUAAAAUAUUUCGACUGUAAGCGUGUAAGCGUGUUCCUAGCAAAACAAAAGUAAUUUUUUUCCCAAGGAUAAUUAUUUGUAUAUUUUCAGUAUUUUUAAUCCGCGUUUGGUAUCGUUAGGGACAACGAUAUUCCCCUUCUUAGUCAAAGUGUCUUAUUUACGUAUAUCAUUUCGAACAUGAAAAGAAGAAGGAAAAAGCUGACGCUUUGUCAUUUUCUUUGCGACGUCUUUAUUUUACUUGGUUCGAUUUUAAAUAUUUGAUGGUCAUUUCGUAAUAGCUUAUAUAAUAUAACUUUACUUGCGAGGAACUUGAAGCAUUUCAACGUAUUCUGAAAACUGGUGAUAAAAGACCGAACAAUUUCUGUUCAUUGAGAUCCUAAUGCAUCUCACAUUCUCACGACUCGAUCAUUCCUAAAAGCAUCUUCAUCCUCGACUCGUUCCUCGCUUGUUCGAACGAACCUGACCUAAAAAUCUUAUUAACAGUUCACUGUAUUGAAACAGCAGAAGAUGCGAAUAACGACGCGGAAAUGUUCUCUAACAAUGUUCACAAGAAAUGCUUCCACAAGCAAGAAAACAUUGCUCUACCUAACGAUAACGAUGUACGCAUAAUUGCAAUAAAGGCAAAUCACUUUGAGGCGACCAUUGCAAAAUAAAAUAGCAUUUUCUAAUUCCGUUAUUAUCGUCGUUAUGACAAUGUUCUUGGUAAUGGCGAGAUUUCCGUAUAAUUGCUAAAGGUUAUUACUUUGAAGGGAUCAUUGCGAUAUAAGAUAACGUCUUCUUGAUAAUUCCAAGAUCCCCAACAUUUGCUCGUCCAGAUCUAAAUUUCGCGGGUGAAAACGUUUUGAUUUGGCAGCGUGACGGACGAGCAUCGGCUGGAUCCUGCCCUCCACUGAGUAUACACGUCUGCGUCGAUUGUCUCGUGAAGCGGUCUCGUUAAAACGGCACGGCGUUAAGUGGAUGUUAUUUUUAGAUCAGACACUCGAGUCAAACCGUUCGGGUAAUUCAGUGGCAACGGUGAUUUCUGUGCCGCGAUUUGCAUAGCACCGUGGCUCGCGUGUUCCCCCGCUAGAAAGAAAUUCGCUUGACGAGACUCUCUGGCCUGAUUCUUUUCCUCCGACUGCCCUCGCAGAGAGAAAAAAAGAAGGAGAAAAAGAAUACACGAGAAAGAAAAGAGUACGCGAUGCCGAGCACUUGCGUCAGAGAUACGUAUCCCACGCUAACGCCGCGAUUAUGACGUUGCCGGCUACUUGCUGCUACCUGAUCGAUAGCGUUGCAACGCGGGCCAGACGACCCAAAACUCGAUCGUUUCUGGUUCUAGGUCCCGAUGAUUUUCGUUAAAAAUUAGUCUCUUUUUUUAUUUUAUUUUAUUAUCGCAAUAUAAUUUGGGGGAAUAUUAAAAGCUGCGGUAUUGCAGUUCGAUUCUUUAAUUGUAAGGAUCUUUAGGAAAUAAAUAUCAUCGAACAAAAUAUUUAUUGUUAAUUAAUUAUUAAUUUUAAUUUAAUUAAUUUCGUAACGCAGGGAUUUCAUAAAUAGAUAGAAAAUUCGUAGUUUUUCUUUGUAAUUAUCGAAUAUACAGUAACAGGUAUCUUUAUUGUAGAUAUUAAGUAUAAUUUAUUGAAGAUACAAGGACAGUCCAAUUUUAGUUUUCAUUGCAGGACUAUCCUAUAGUCAAAGUUGUAUUUGAAAACUCUUUUAAAAAAACCCAAUAACUUCUUUCUCAAAAACUAUAUUAUGAAUUUCAUUCUAUGAAGUAUCCAUGAAAGUAUUUGAACGCAUUUUACCUUCGAAAAUUCUUAUGAAUAUAUCCAACGAAAUUUCAAAAUGUUUCGCAUAACAUGCACGGUAUAUUCGUUUGUAGAAGCGUUCGAAUAAUUUCAUGAGCCACUCCAAUAUCGUAUCGCGAUAGCAGUUCGUGCAAUCGCCUCGAAUUUCAUAAAAUCGUCAAAGUGCUGUUUGGAAAAAAUGUUUUCUCGAUAUGAUACACGGUAAACGCGUGCCUACGCUUGGUGUAUAGCGGCUAUAGCAUAGUCCCGGAGGCGAAAGCGAGACCGUGGGCCCGAGCAAGACGGAAAGAGAAACGGGACCGAGAGAGAAAAGGCAGCCCGGGCACUCGGCUUUCGUUUUCACCCAGCCUACUUGUUAAUCCGGUGAGUCAAUAGUUGUAUAACACUGGAACUACGUUGCGUAACCCAGCGUUGGUUUCCCUGGCGACCUACUUGCCUACUAAACUAGACAUACAUUCUUAUCCACCGGUAAUCCGUCUCUCCCUGACCGUUUCUAGCCUUCUCCGCUUCGCUAUACCCGCCGCGAGAACCGUUUCCUCUCGUGUGCGCCGUGCACGGCCACGCUUCCAUCGACGAGCCGAGACUCGAUCGAUGCCACCUCGAAGGGACGCAACCUGUUACGACACAUGACGAAGUGGACCCUUGUCGUCUCGACCAUACCAACGAAGUUUCGUCUCGGAUCAACGAGAAGAUAUAACCCGCGUCGUGAGACGAAUCUUGAAAGCUUGCGAAACCUUGAAACUGCGACCAGAUCCCUCGGAAGUUAAUUAGACGAUUUAAUACACGAAACCUGUAUGAGAGCGCCACAGCGUACAAUAUGCAUUUCGUACGACGAUAGAUCUUCUAACACAGAUACCUUUUAACUAAACGUUUAAAAUACAUAUUUACAUGUUUUACGCAAACGAAACAUCGAAGAUAAGCAAUCGAUCGAAAGGAAUUUCCGCCUUCUUUACUUUUUCACGGCAGCCGUAUGUUAUUGUCGAACAGAUAUCGAGAAGGAAAAAACGAAAGAAAAAGCGAACGCGGAAACUGUUGCGGUAUCGCGGUUUAUUUUCCGCGAGGUACAGCAAAAACACGAUAACGUUUCCGAUCUGCUGGCGAUACGAUAAUACCAUGAUGGUAAUCUGAAUUUCAUUCAGACCAUGACCCAGGCUAAGAGUGAAAAAUUAUCAACGGCUUCCAUACGUGGCGAGCAAAACUAUAUUCGUGGUUGGUGGCGUGCGUUGCGUAUACACAGGCUCUCAAGGACCCGACGAACCGACAGCCGAGGAGCAAAAAUUCGACUUCAAGGCGGCAGAGUUUAACGGGAGGAAAUUUCACGACACAACCGAAUAUCUUCGACAUGGUUUUCGAUGCUUGCCCGACCUUGGGCCCGAUCGAUUCGAUCCAUUUCGCAGAUAUCGCACGCUCCUGAACACGCUGAUUGCCACAGACGCGUCGCAAAAACCGGCAUCGAUACGUUAUUUCGCGUUCGAACAGAGUUCGAUAGUCGUGACAAUCUCGCGAAGCAACCGCGUGACAAAGUUAUAAGAGAGGAAAAAAAGAACAGAGUAGAAAAAGAAUUACAUUGACCGGCGGUGAAACUGGGACAAUGUGCAAGAGCAUGGAAAAUGAAGUUUCUUUUGCAAAUAUUAGGUCGUAUAUGAAUGGUUUCUUUAGCUCAGGUAAAUGCCGGGGCAUUUACUUUUCAUGAGGGCAAGUUUAAUAAUCGAAGCACAGUAGUAUAUUAGUAAAGUAGAUAUUGAAAUGGUAAAAGUUUCCUAUGCACGUCCUUUGAUAGACCUACCGUGAGUUUGUUUCAACUUUAUUUUAUCUUGCCCGUAAGUUUGCUCUGCUCUCGAUUUUUAAAGUUGCCUUUGGUUAAAAGAAACUUUAGAAAACCAACGAUAAGUUGGUACGUUCGUUAGUACUAACCUGCGUAAAAUUUCUUCUAUCCCACUGCCACCACAUACGCACGUUGAUAACGUGAAAAUUGUACUGUUUCUAUCAAUAAAGCAUGAAAAAUGGAAAAUUUACAAAAAAAAUGUAUAACCGUUUUAACGAAAUAAAAUGCUUGGUUUCGAUGAAUUUCACUGUAAAAGAGCAACUUUUCAACCAGCAACCAACAGGUUGAUCGUUAUAAAAAUUUGUCAAGCAUAAAGAGCCGAUACAAGAAUCAUAUGACCAUAUAGGCGUUCUGUCGAAUGAAUUCACGAAUCGUGAGUCGCAUGUAAUAAAAAACGGAUAAAUAAUAGAAACGUUGAGUCAUUCGAUCUCGGAACCGAUUCACGUGGCGCCCGUGAACGUUAUCUAUCUUAAGCUCGCAUUUAAAUAUAGAGUCCUCGAUGUGUUCCAUAGUCAAUCGUCUCCGGAUUUGAAAAAUCGCGGUGUCACGAAAUCGAUCGCAGAAUGGGGUCAUUGUGGUCACGCAAUUGAAUCGGUUGGAUAAGAAAUAAAACGCACCGGGGUGGACGAUAGAGAAUAUUAUGAAAGCCAAAUCUACCAUAUUUUACGAAAUACCUUCGAUCAGUCGGACCAAUCCACUGAUAUCUUCUUCGUUGCGGUUAAUAAUGGAAAGUUCGGUCGACGUGUGGUAAUCGAUAUAGCGAGAUUGUAAAUUAAAGCGCUUAUUAACGAUAUCUAUCAAUGUAGUCUAUGUAGUAUAUAUGUUGUAGAGAAAUUCCUUAGUUCUCGGAUUAUAAACAUCUAUGUUUGUAACGUUCUAUUAAAAGUGUACGAUAUUAACGUAUAGAUAGUCGCUUUAAUAACAUCGAAGUCCUUUACGUUCCUUUCUGGCUGAGGUAAAUUCACACGGAAGAAUUAUCAGUAACUCCGAGGAAAGAAGAAUUUCUUAUAUUCAUUUCAAUUAAUGAUUCUUGGAAUUCUUCUCUUACGACCCUCAUAGUGUAAAGUGUUAGUAACGUCACGCGUUAAGUACGUAACGUCAACCGUACGUUUAAUGUGUUAAGAUUUUGUUGUCGCUUAUUGAUCAACGGACGUUAGUAAAAUGUAAUUUAGCUAUUAAAAAUUAAACCACAUACUGUUUACAAAAAGAACAAAAAAAGACAAAAUGAUAGUUUGAAGUCAACAUCGUCAGAUGCCGGACAAUGUUUGUAGAAUGUCGGAAACUAUACUUCGUUUAUACUUAUGAUUCUUAAUCUAUUAUACAAUCUCGUCGUAUCUUCUCCAUCUAUUACGCUAUCUGGAUAAUUAUAAACGCACACGCGUGUAACGCAAAUCGUGGGAGGGGUAUAAAGAGAAAGAAAUAGAGAGUGAAAAGAAAGGAAAAGGACUCGCGUGAGUCUGCAACGGCUGACUUAUUAACGCCGGUAUUGAGAUUAAGUUUAUUCAGCAACGAGUAUGCCAUGACACACUAACCAAGUGGUCGAGACCCACUUAAGCUACCGGGUGACCUCCAUUGAAAUGGAAUGGAUGGGGUGAUAGUGCGUGGUGUAUUUAAAGCGUGGUAUACGCAACACUCACGGAAAGCGUCCCGACGCGAGGCCGUCCGCGCUCGAGUGUCCUUCGAUUUUCAAACGGGAAGACCAUUAAUUGCCUGUACGUUGUGCCAGGGCUAUCCGCGAUUCGCGUUGGACCUUCGAGGAAACGACUGUGUUUGCACGGCACGCAAAGUCUUCUGCAAAGGCUCGAUGCAUCCUUCGACCAGCAUAAAGACUAAUCAUUAUCGUAUGGUAUACGUUUACCGUAUUAACGUCGUAUAUCGUUCCGAGGCGUCGUUUCACGAACAUCGUGACUCUUCUUCUUGGAAAUGAUAAGCUGCUCUUGUUGCGAGUUCUACUGGUCGCGAACAACCAGAGAAUAUAAAGAAACUGAUGGGACGAAAGAAAGAAAGAAAGGUAGUACGAUGUAAUUAGAGGACAAUACGAUUUUUACGAGCACAGAUUACAGCUCGAAGGAGCAGAGCAGUUUCACUUUCGACCAAAGCGAAAUCCGUUUAACCCGAAAAUUGGCCAUAGCUGGUUGCUACUCGGCUGGCCAGGAUCUUUGGAACGAGAAAGUCCCGAUAGUUUCGCUGUUUGAAGGCCCGAGGAUAUUACGAUGAAUUUCUGCUUUUACGUAAUCUCCGUCUGGGAAGUCACGUAUUGUCAAAUAUAUACCGAGAGCCUGGUACCCGGUUCGAGUCAAACGGACGAGGAUGAAAGUUACGUUACUCAAGAUAAUACGUUCCACGGUGUUCAAACGUUCGAAAAGAUUUUUAGUAGACCGUAAAAAUCAGUUGAGGAAAUAUUUGAGACCGACGAUAUCAACGUUACGACAUACUUUUCGUUUCAAACGUGUUCCUUCUUUUAUUUAAUCGAAUUGUUUUCCAUCGAUCGAGAAUCAAUUCGAUAAAAGAUCUUUCGCGCGAGAUCCACCGUUUCGCAACUUUUCGAAUUCCUUCAUUCGAAGAUAUUCGAAUUCAGAGGCAGAAAAAGAAACGAAAUUAAUGAAUAUGAUAAGAAAAUGUUUGCCGAUUCGAUAAAGGAGAGAGGGAAAAUCUAAAGGGGAAGAGGAAAAUCGUCUGGAAUCCUUAGAUAUCGUGUGUCGCGAGGUACAUUAGCUAACUGGGUACGUAUACAUUUCUUACGCAAACUAGCGAAAGUAGGCGGGUGCGAGAGCCGCUCGGCAACGGACACACCAGCCAGCCAGUCAGACGGCCAGCCACACACGUAGCACCGAGGCGAAAGAUACGUGAGAGCGCGUGUAUAUGUUUUCGAGCCGGUUGGGUUGGGAAAAGGGUUGCGAAAGCCUGCCGAAAGCGCCUCCUUCGCACCGAAAGCGAGAGUGGAGAAGGCCUGGGCCGAGUCUCGAAACGGCCUGCCGGAGACAUAUCUGGGGCCUGUACGUUCCCAACAGGCCUUAAUUAACACGUGCUCAGGCUACGUGAGUUAUUUAUAUCGCUCGUGAUCGAAGGGAACCGUAUAAUUGCCCCAAGUUCUCCUCGUCUAGGGAAUUUUUCAUUUGUCCCAUAGAAAUCACUCUGCUCGAUCAGCAUUUUUUUCUUUUCUUUCUUUUAGCGAAUUUUUUCAGAAAUAUUGGUAUGUUGUAUAACGUACUAUAUGUGUGAAUUUUAUUUUUAUUUUUACUUAAUUCUUUUAGUGUUAUAAUAGAAUUUAUUUAUUAUAUUAUAUUAUUAAAUAAAUUAUAUUUUAUUAUUAAUAUUAUUAGAUAAAGCACUAUUUUUAUGUCAUAGGAAUUUAGCUGCGUGCUCUAUACAAAUUACCGUGGAAAUUUCUUUUGGGAACAUCUAACAUUUUUUAUUUGUGUUCCAUGUAAUUGUAAGUUGUUGGUAUACGUAAAUAACGUAGAUUUGCAAUAGAUUCUUUGAUGCAAUACAGUUUCCAUUGUAAUAACAACGAUUCCUAGUUACGAAGUUUGUAUUUGUCCCCAUGCAAAAUUAUUGUACAAUAUUCUCAUUCUCAUUUAGCACAUAUAAAUAGAUAUAUCUUAAACAAAUAGAACAGUAGUAAUUAUCUCCUCUUAGUUCUAACAAAUUCGCCCUUGCGAAGAUUAAAUUGAUCGUAAUGCGACUAGUAACCAAAGGAAUCGCUGAUCGUAAAUCAACGAAUGAUAAUAAACAAUGGAAAUUUUUCGAUAUGACAAUCAUUUCCAUUUAAGUCUAUUAGAAGAAAGGUUCGAGAUUCAAAGGAAGUUUCGGUGAACUCCGGUUAUUAUGCAUAUAAGUACGUAUGUUGUAAGACGAGUCGAACAGGAAACAUGCCGAGGAAAUUAACUGGAAGGGAAUGAGACUUAAUACGAGCUUGCUAAGCGUGGGACGCCGGGAACACGGUUUUUAUUCUCGCUUCUUCUCCCGAUUCGUAGGGGAAAAGGAAAGUUCGAGGCUGGCAUUGAAGCAGGCCACGGGGAAGACCAACACGCUAGGCUGGAGAGGAUGUGUAAUGCGGUUUAGAUCGUGGACCAUGACCAAGUGAUAGUGACUUCAAGAAUCAGCUGGCGCGCGGCUCAAUGAGGUUACGCCGCAUUUAAAUUGCGUUCCAUUUUAUGACGGUUGUACGGAAACGGUUCGCUGACGUGCUGCGCUCGAACCACGAGAACGUCGCGCCGUUGGCCAGUCGUUUCACGUAGCCGGCGCGAUUCGCUUGCAUAAAUCAUUAGAAAGUUAUUGAAACGCGUCGAGGGCGAAUUCACGCGACGAGUCCAGCACCAACGAGUAUCAUUUUGUAACGCGUGUCGUUCGUUUCUUUCGUCGAGGCGAGCGCGAGGGAGAAGAGGAUUGCGCAAGAGGUAACGGUCGUGGUAAUAAUGCGACCGAGUCUGAGAAAUCCACAGGUGACAAAAAAGACAGGCUACGAGCGUUUUUACGAGUUUCUAACUGCCCCUCGGAUCUUUCAAUUUCUUACGCGCCAAAGAAACCGGCCGUUUGUUUUACGCCGCUCCUUCUUUUCCCUGUUAGCACCGAUCGAAAUUUAUCUAACGAUCUGAGUCGCCUUUUGCCAACCUAUAUUACAGUAUUUUCUCAGUUAAUAUCGAUUAAGAUGUAACCGCGAUACAAUCCGCUUUUCACCGGUUUCGCUUCGUUUUAUCAAUUACCGCCGAUUGUUAUCUACCUAACGACCCCACGAAUUUAUUUUUCAUCGUUAUUCUUAUUACUAAAAAUCUACAUUUAGAUAAGUGCUAUCCAUAUUGGUCAUUCAACAUCGUGUUCGCAAACUAAGGACGAUAAUAAUAAAAAAGAAAUGUAUAGAAGAAGAUAAGACGCGUCUAGGCGUACCUUGACGCCUUUCGGGAGCGGCGUUUACGCGAAGCGUCUCCGAUGGCCUUUAUUUCCAAUAGCACCCUGUGUUUGCAUGCGCCACGUAACAAUCACAUCGAUAUAUCCCUCAAAGAGAUAAAAAGCAUCGCGUCCUCGCCGGAUUCGCGCUAAAACGCGGGACGACGCGAUGCCUGCGCCGAGUGCGCGGGAGAGGUGCGAGAAGGCGCUGCUGCGUCCACGUACACGCGACCGAGGGAGUAGGACGCACGGACGUGCGGAGGGAGGGCGGGUGGGAAGGAGGGUAGGGGAGGAGGGCGGGAGGAAUAGUGGGGAAGGGUGAGCCCGGUGGGAGGCAAGGAUUCGUGUCAUUGUCAGUGGGUAAUCAGGUCAGUGGGCCAGUGGGACGACCACUUUCAAUUUCAGUCCUUCUAGCUGUGCAACUCGCCGUGCCGCGCGUCGCGCGUUAUCUCGCGCUCUCGCUCUCCGUCUCCCUCUUUCUCCCCGCGGCAGCGAUACGUGCGUCUCUUUUGCCUCGCGAUGUUCACGCGACUCUAUUCGCUGUCCGUGUCGUUUCUGUGCUGUUUGUUAAUAUCGCGGUACAUACAUACGUACUGGUAGCUCCGUGGUUCCUCUCGAGGGCGUCGUGGUUACCGGUAGAGGGAGGCAAAGAGGGUGUAGUGGAGGGGGGGAAGUACAGGCGCGAAGUCGUAAACGUGGCAGAAGUAUGAGUCGCGAGAAAAAGAAGAAGGAUGCAAGAGGGAAGAGGGGGAAGUCCUGACACGCGCCAAUCACAUCAUGCUUCUUCGGUUGCAAACGUGUACCGAGCAGUACGCGGUUGAACAGAAAGAAGAGAGAGAGAGUGAUAGGGAGAGUGACAGGAUGGCGGCAUGCGGGACAAAGGGCGAGGGGAAGGAUGAUGCACGCGCGAUCGCGCUAGCUCGCUCGCCCGACGGCGCUCGCUCGUUCUCUCGCACGGACGCCGGGAAAGAUAGCAGAAAGUAGGACGCGUAUUAAAAACCACAGACCGUGUCCCGUGGCGUCACUUCUCGUGCCUCGCCGCGGCGCGUCGGUAUUACCCAAUCGAAUUCAUCAUAACUGGCACGAGAAACGUACGAGCGAACAAAUGAACGAACGAAUCGACGGACAUAUGGAGACAUGGACGAGUUGUCGAAUUGAAAAAGAGAAAGGGAGGGGGGAGAACUAUACGACGUAUAAAAGAGAGAGUGUUUAGCCGAGGAGAAGAAACGAGUCACUUCCUCUCAUUAUUGCAUUCUCAAACGAAAUUUUUGCACGCACAAGUUCCAGAGAAAUAUUACCCGAGUGCUAAAUUUAGCGACUGAUCGAAACGAGACCAACGCCGUGGUGCGGCGAUCGCGGGAAUUAUAAAAGGUGUGAGCGCGCCUCUUCCGCUCGAAUCAAUGAUCCUUAAUUACGUUUGAAAAUUAAGCUGACGCCAAAGUAUCGCGCAACGAGUAAAUGAAUUUUCCUAAGGAAUUAGGUCAUACCCUUGAAGGGUUAUUCGUGAAAGCUUAAGGAAUGUCGGCGUCGACUAUACACGCUUCAUCGACUAUUAUUUGACGACGUUUAUGUAAGUACGAUCUGAUCUUCCAAUAUAAGCUUACAAAUCCACCAGGAUUUCGUCUUUUCGGCGUAAACAAAUUUAUAUCGGACAAGAUCGAAUCUGUGACCUAAGAAAUCGAUCGAAGAAACGGAGAACGUUGUCGUUUGCGUAUCGAACGCUCGUAAAUUUACCAAACUAUAUCGAUAGAGGUAAACAAAAGUUAGAAAGAUGGUUCCCUUCUCUUAAAACUAUUACACCAGCCUAUUCAACGCGCAUGGCUGAAUAAAUCGAACGUUUCCGCGAUGCUAAACAUUUUAACACCCCGGCUACUUUGAAUGUCGCGCGCAUGCGCCCAGUAGUACGGAUAGCAAUUCUUAUAUGCGAUCCUUUGGGCAAGCUUUUAGAUGUUGAUACCAUUGGGAGGGCGCCACAAGUUAGGAGAAGCAAUUUGGCGAUGCGAGAUAUGUACACUUAUAUGGUCUACUUUUCGAAGUCGGACCGCGUAGACGCGACUCGAGCGCGCAUUCAAAUACGUCUUGCUUUGCAUUUGCAAGUACAAUGAAAUUAUGCAAGCGUGUUAUAUUGCAAUUAUAUGUACUCGCAAUAAAUCGGUAAUAACGGAAUAAUAGCCGUUACUAAUACACCGGGAAUGCGAGCUGGGAUAUUUCCAACGGCAUACAUUUAGUAACGGUGAUCAUAACACGAAGACUUACGAUCCAAUAAUACAAUUUGUAAUACGGUACUACAGAAAAAAAUGGUUUUUACAAUUACUUUAAAAAGGGCACAUUAAGAAUAAAUCUGUUAUACUUAUUACAUAUACAGAAAUAAAUCUGUUAUACUUAGACUGCGAACGUUUAUGCAAUUUUAUUUUAUUAUGGAAAAUUGUAAUGUACAAUAACAUAACGUAAUAUAGACGAUAUACAUAAUAUAAGAGUGAGCACGAUAAGAAAGAAUAUAUGCAAUAAGAAAAUAUGCAAAGCGAUACACCUGUCGUAAUAUUUAAAGACCAAACCUAAUUUCUCUUUACAAUUUACAUAAACAUUUACAGUCUAGUUAUAACUAUUUUAGGUCUUGUCAAUGAAUUAUGUAAUUCCAUACAAUUAAAAGUAAUAAACGCACUUUAAUAAGAUGAGCAGCAUAGCUGAAACUGAUUUGUAAAACCAGUGGAAUUCGAAAAACCGGAAUUCGAUCGUACCAUGAUUACGAUACAAGAGGGUAAAAGGUGACGUGGACGCGAGGGAUGAAGGUUCGGCACCGAUAAAUUCGCCAACGUAUCUGUACCGGUGUUGUAGCCCGCUGGGGACGUUGAAUAAUAAUUAUUGUUGUUGGCUCGGCUUGGGUGUUAUUGAGUUAUUCCAAUGCGAGUUUAUCAAAGUGGGUCAAGCGAUUCAAUAGCGACCGCCGUGGAGGAGAAACGACCCAUCGUCUUAACGUGGCGUGGGAGUGUACGUAUAGCAGUAGAAUAACGUGCACACGAUCAAACACACACCGGCAAACGCUACCGAAUUGGUACACGUAUAAAAAGUGACGAACAACCAGACCGUAAAAUCGGCACCACUAUUACGAGGAACAAUUACAACGAUGAUAUCUCGUUUCUUUAUAUUAUUCGAAGAAAAUUGGUGGAAAAGAUUGGAUUAAUUUACUCGGAGAAAAACAGGGACGCAGGAGAAACAGAAUUCGUGAAACGUAAAAUCGUUAUCUAAUUGAAAUCGUGGAAAAAACAAAUGUUGAUUCGGAGCUUGGUGCGAGUUAUAAUCUCAGUAACGAUUCCGUAGACGAGAGAGAGAGAGAGACUAAUUAUCCGGCUUUCCAUUAACAACAGGUAGAACGACGGACGAGCCAUAAAUUCCUGUAGGAAAGCGAGGAAACCGGAUUUUCUUCGCUCUUGGUGAGAGUUGGGACAACACUGUCGAUUGUUGCAUAAUAGGGACAACGAGGAUAAGAGACGCGUGUCCUCGGUCAGACUGGCAAUAAACAAACAAGGAAUAUUUGACUGAGAUGUCACGGGUAAAUAAGUAAACUGACGACAAGUAAAAAUACAGCCCAAGUCCCGUGGAGAGAACCGAAGUCACGAGUCACGAGAGAACCGAAGAAAGUGAAGAAGGUCGCGUGUCUAUAUUGGAGGAUCGCUUUCGAAGUCACCGGAUGAUAUUGUAAAAAGAAGCGAAGAAUUAUUAAGGAAGUUUGCCAUCAUUCACGCUACGCGUGUAAUUUACAUGUUAUUUAACCUUCCGUAAGCAAACUGGGUUGGUUAUGUCCGAAUGUUUUUUUACUGUUAUUUAUUAUUAUAUUAUUACAUUAUUAUUUUACUGUUUCCGACUUGGAAAAGAUCCUGAAGCUAUCCUGAAAUAGUUAUCAAUGUUUUUACUACGCCAAAUGUUUGAAAUAUUCCUCAAUAAAAAUAGACAUUCUUUUUGGAGAAAUUGUAGAAUGAAAUUUAAAUUAGAUUCUCAACUACUCGGUUUGCCUACGAAAGAUUAAAUGUACUAAGAAUACGGAUAUCGAAAAUGAGACUUCAGGGGAAAUAACUGUUUGCAGGGUAUCACAGGAUUAUAUUAUUCCUUCCAAAACCGUAUGGUAUUGAAUCGUCACAGAUUCGAAUAUGUGUACUAAGCAUACUUUCGCACUAAUCAACCAUUUUAGAUAUGGUUAGUUUCAACGUAGUUACACGGCUUAAUGCAACAAGAAUCAAUUGUACAUAACCACUUGAAGUAACCACGUAGAAAAGAUUGUAUUACGAAAUGUCUUGUACAGAAGUUCUAUAUGUCUCGAAACGCAUGCACGAUGCGCUCGCAAAAAGGGUAGUACCUAAAGAAUAUGUAAAGCAGGUUAAACGAUGUAUCGGAGACACAGCCUUGAAUAUUCAUGAAUACUGAACAACUUUUUUGGAAUGGUAUCACAUUUAAAUUCCAUUCGUCCUCUGGUACCGCGUUCUCCGCUCUAUUUGUAAGCCUGCACUUUGCACUUUGCUUAACACACGCGUUUCCUAUUGUUGUUACGAUGUUCAAAAAUUAUUUCCUAUCAUUUUCCAAGGGAAACAAUAUCUAGCGUAAAAAAAAGAAGGGACCUUGGAUAAAAUUUGCACCUGUGCCCUGUAGGUCUAUUUCGCACCCCUUACUGUGCGAAUAAUCGUGAUUUAUUGUGUGCAAACAGCGGACCCAACCUCUAACGGAAAUGCAACAAGUGAAUUUCGACACAGCAGGUAGAUGUUGACGUGGUCUAUUGUCGGGAAGGGUGUAUACAUCGUUGAAGGAACUGACCCCAUCCACUCGACAAGGGAUUGCGACGAAUUCGUGCCGGCCACGUGCCGCCACGCUUACGAAACCCCGGGAAAGCUGCAAUCCCUUUUUCUAUAACAUUUUUACUACUCGGAACGGUACAUAGCAGAAGUAAAAGUGACAGUCAACUUUUAUGGGACUAAUACUUUACCUCUGACUAACAAGGGCAGGAGGACAUCCACGACAAUGGUCAUUGUUACUCGUCAUAUUUUUUCGAGAGAAGACUCUAUUCGGAGUGAAAUACGAUCAUUAUAAAAUUACGAAAAUUGUCACCUUGAUUCUACGACGAUAGAAUGAUACUGGUAAGGUUGCUUUUGAUCCGUGGAGGAAGGAAAAAUACGAAAAAAUUGCGUAGUCGUAUUUUCUUACACUACCACUGAAAAGUAUUUGGCCACUUUUUCUUUAAAGCUUAACUAAGUAAAGGUAUCGCUUAUUUUUCACGUAAUUUAAUUAAAAAGAAAUUACAAAUAAAAAUUACGUAUUCACAAAUAAUGUCUACAUUCUGUGGGUAUUAUUAUUUUAUCGUCACUAUAUAUAAGGUUACCUUUAUAUAACCAAUACAUGUGCAAUGAAAUGUUGGCAUCCACGAGAAUAAACGUAACCCUAACCAAGUUAUGACACAAUUUUUGAACAAAAUUUACGAAACAUUCCGGUGAAGCUAUUUAUCGCCGGACUAACUUCAAGUUUCUAAAAUACAGAUCAGAUAGAUUCUUAUAAACUUGUAUCAUAUUUGACUCAAGCAAUAACGUUUCAAACUAACAGAUACAUCGAUGAAUUUCGCGUUUGAAAUUUUAAUACAUUGUCGAUCGAUUUUCAAACAAUUGAUAAAAUGUAUUAUUUGUUGAUUCGCUAAGAAGAUAAAUCCGUUAAAAUGUCGGGAAACUAUGGAAAAUUUGAAAGUGGCAAAAUGCACAGAAUACGCAUAAUUCACAAGGCUAUACAAAAUACUUGAAAUAUUCGUAUACGGCUAAUUAUAAUAUCUAGCGCUAGAAAUAAAUGAAUUUGUUUAAGUCUUAUCUCCUCAGUGGCAUUCACAAAAAUGUAAAUUCGCGUAAACAUCCACAGUCUAGUCGUAGGUGAUAGUGUAGGUUAGAUCGCAAAAUCAUUUUCAUUUUCGUCGAAAUGAACUCGACUCUCGGCCGUUUGUCCGAUUUUAGAACUCUCUUUUAACGAAGCAAAGGGUCGAGAUGAGUCUGUUUAUAGAGAGAGAAAUUUCGAGCGUUCGUGUCCCCUUUGGGUUUGUCUGGUUCGCGAAGCGUGUCGUCGGGGUCCGGAUGAAAGUAAAAGUAAAAGUACCGAGAACGGGCGCCAAAGUACACGUGCACGUGUGUACCGCGAUCUGGUCGCGUGAAACGCGACCGUCGAAGGAGGACGCGGCUCGCCACCCGUUUUUCCGACCUUUGAAAUCGUACAGACGCAUUUCUAGAAUGGCACUACGACGUUCGCCGAGUGCUUUCACCAGUGUCGAUGCGCGUCUUGAGCUCUCUGACGUAACCAGUUUCACUGGAACGCGUCUCUCCCAUAACACAGACCUAAUUUUUAAUCGACGUCAACCUGUUUCCAAGCGAUUACACGAUGCAGCUCGUCAAGGUGACGAUUAAGCAAUUACCAAAAUUAAGGCUUCCGGAUGCAAGUUGUUCGUAUUCUAAUUUUUUCUAAAUACUACUGUUAAUAUUAUUAUUCAUAUAUACAGAGUAUUUGUCGCGUUUUUCUCACGAAUAGUAGAUUUAUGAACAAAGUUGAAAGAACAAAGUUUUACUAUCUUUUAUACAAUAGUUUGAAUAGAUCUUCUUUCAUUUUUCUUCGCUUGCACGUAUUAAAGAAAUUAUGAAUGUUCUUAAAUUGCUAACGAACCUUUUUACAGUGCAUCGUGAAUGUAAAUAUGAAUUUAAUAUUUUUCUUACAAAUCUAUCGUUUACGAGGUAAAGGCUAAGGCCGGGUGCGGACGAGCGACUUUUUGACGUUGCAUUUUUACUGCAUCGUAUGUCUGUCCCCGUCAUGUUUAACUGGGAAAACAAGGACAGACGUAUGACGCAGCGAGAACGCAGCAGGAAAAAGUCGCCUGUCUGCACCGGGCCUAAUAGCACGAACUUGUAUGUAUUAAUGUAUCAUUCGAUAAUAAUUUUGAUCUCUGACGAAACUGAAACUUUCAGAAUAUUUCUUUGAAAAGGGUAUGAAACGAGAGUCACAAUUUUAAAGAUUGUAUGAUAAUUGACUAUGAACGCCAUGUAAAGAAGGCGAUGAAUUUUACAAUAGGAAAGGAACGUGUGAAAAUCGAAAGAAAAAAACGUUAUCGAAUCUUUGCAGCCGAGUCGGAAAGAUAUUUCCGGUUGAUAAUUCCAUAUCAUUUCCUAUGUUAUCUGGUGCACCGCUAAUUUUACAAGUAUAUCGCUCGCGAGUUAUAGCAGAUUGUGUAACUUUUUAAUAUCAGGAAAAAGAGAGAAAAUAGCUGUUUUAUAUCUUUCUAUCUUACUUAACGAACACUCUAUUAAAUCCAUUCGAAAUAGAACUAACUAGUCACAGAUCGAGUAUACGAAAUUAGAAAUAAAGAUAGUAAUUCGUAUUUUAAUAUUACGAAAGUUUCUUAAGAAUUGUUACGACGAAUAUACAUAUCCGUAUUCUUAUGAGCAACCUAAGCAGAAAUUUAUUUCGCCUAUUAAACGUUAUAACGAGUAUUACAUUUUAAAUAUUUUAUAUACGUUUGCAUAUUAUAUGCAGUUUGCAAAUUUCGCAAACAAUCCAAUGAUAACUUAUGUAAAAGGCAACUGUAGCUUGACUAUACGUUCGAAAGAUACUUGGCAAGAGUCGCGUAACGUUUCAUAGACUCUUUCCCAUUCUUUUCAGGUGGUUGGUGAUCAAGCUGGGCUCUGUAUCGCGGACGAAUUGCCACGCUCGAGUAGAUUUAACACCGGCUGCGCAAGUACCGGUAGCUGUUCGAAACGGGAGCGUUAAUUGUAAACGCGGCUAAAGGGGGCGCGGGACAAAGAACGAACAACGUGACGGAAAAGAAAAAAAGAAAAAAGAGAAGGCGGAGAACAAAAAGAAAUGAAAGACGAGAAAAACAAACGAAAUAGAACGGACGAUCGUAAGCCGAGAAAAUAGAGUGCAAACUGCCCUUGACGCGAACGAGAAGCAGAGCUUGUAUCUUUGUAACGAGCCCGCGUAAUCGCGCAAUGCCGCCAAUGCCACAAUGCAGCUAAUUAUCAGCAUUAAUGCUGGCGAGAGUCAUGAAUAUUCAUACUUGACAUCUUUAUCGAGCAGCGGGAAAUUGGAGUCGUUAUACGCGGGCCUCCUUUUUGACCCACCUAUCCACGCGAAUCGAUAUGUUAAGGAAAUUAAAACUUCUCCCCUUCUAUGUAUAUGUAUAUACCUAUGUACAUGUACAAUUUUCUUCAAUCUCAUGUAAAAUAUAGCGUGAGCCAGAAUAGUUGUAGAGAUUAGAAGAAAGAAUGAAUGUAUGAGAAAGAGUGGAGGAGUGGACUUGUGCGAAUGACAAAGGGGGAGUGUGCAAUUAAAUUAUAAGAUUAAAUUUAUAUAAUUAGAUAUAGAGUAAAUAGAGUACAGUUAAGUGUAAGUUUAAGUGUAUAUAUAUAUUAUAUAUUUAUUUACAUUAUAUAUUUCAUAUUAUAUA